GCGCGCCGGCCAGCUAGCCCCUUUGUGCGGCGGGGGCGGCGGAGUGCUCCCUCCAAGACCGGUUGCACCCCGCUUUCCUGGCCAGGACUCUGGCGCGCUAAGGAGGCGCGGCAGCUACAAAGACGACGCCGGCUGCGCUCGCGGGACCAGAGGGAGGGAGGCUGCGGACGAGUGCGGGGAGGAGUUUGAGAUGGGAGGCGCUUGCAGGGGCUCCCCCAGUUCUGCGCUGUGAGCCGGGGCACAAAGAGCCCUCUGCACUCGCGCCGCAGGACCGCGGACCCAAGUUGGAGGCAUCUGUCCACCCAUGUGGUUCCAGACACGUUCAUGUGGCCACCAAGACCCCGUCGGCAUCACAGGAGUAACCAAGAGAGCAGCAAGUUCCUGGGACAGAGGAGAGAGAAGGGAAUUUCCAGGUUCUUCAGGACGUUCACAACCACACUGAGAAGCAUCUUUGCAGAUAAGUAUUUAAACUUACCAGCCCAUAGCCUACCAGCCUGCCCUCUUCUGGUCUGUGCAGGAAAGUGUAGUAUCCUAGAAUACCAAAGUGGGAGGGGAAACGGGUGAUGUAGCUCAUUCUCUUUUCUACCUCUAUGGAAGAAAGAAAGA
This 606-nucleotide long non-coding RNA is filed under the name Pongo abelii (Sumatran orangutan). RNAcentral describes it as "lincRNA". The stretch from base 151 to 285 matches the Rfam family "Myocardial infarction associated transcript exon 1". The record is from RNAcentral. Lineage: Eukaryota; Metazoa; Chordata; Mammalia; Primates; Hominidae.